RNAcentral lists this ribosomal RNA (186 nucleotides) under uncultured bacterium. RNAcentral's name for it is "partial 16S ribosomal RNA". It matches the Rfam family "Bacterial small subunit ribosomal RNA", at positions 1315 to 1500 of the family's 1533-position model. The record is from RNAcentral.
CCUACAUGAAGUCGGAAUCGCUAGUAAUCGCGGAUCAGCAUGCCGCGGUGAAUACGUUCCCGGGCCUUGUACACACCGCCCGUCACACCAUGAGAGUUUGUAACACCCAAAGCCGGUGGGGUAACCUUUUGGAGCCAGCCGUCUAAGGUGGGACAGAUGAUUGGGGUGAAGUCGUAACAAGGUACC